RNAcentral lists this long non-coding RNA (1612 nucleotides) under Anas platyrhynchos platyrhynchos (common mallard). RNAcentral describes it as "lncRNA (ENSAPLG00000030304.1)". Lineage: Eukaryota; Metazoa; Chordata; Aves; Anseriformes; Anatidae. The record is from RNAcentral.
AAAACAGUAAAUAUUCAUUAAGACAGAAUGAAGAACUGUAAAACAGAAGAGACGUAUCUAGAAGGGUGAAGCCUAUGCUCCAGUCCUCACUUCAGUAUUUCAACAUUUCAUGCCAAGUGAAAUAGACUCUGGCAGAAAUGGAAAGAGAUACCCUAUAAAUACCCCAGAAGACCUGGAGAAAACUGUGAAAAAGUAAUACAAGCAUGACAAGGACUGAAGUCAUGAGGCAAAGGAAGAAAACUUGAAUAGAUCUACCUUAAAAGCUGUUACAGGUGCUAAUGGAAGGGAACAGCAUGAGUGGAAGCUUUGCUGCAGGAAGCUGACUGAGUGCCAUUGGGGAUACAGGAGGAAGCCUGGGAGAGAAAAGCUCUGUCUAUUAUUUCUUCGUAAAAGCCAUUGAAACAAAAUGAAACACUAAUAAAUAUGUACAGUGAACAACUACCCAAUAGAUAUUCUGCAGUUUAUAUUUCCCUUCCUUCAACCACAGCACUUAAAUCUGGACACUGUCUCAGAUCAGGAGAGCAGAGAGAUCAAUUUCACUCAUCAGCUGUGUUUCUACUUAUGUUCCUGUUCUCUGUCAUCUUUCAAAAUCAUGGCAUGAAGAUUUCAUGAAGACACAAAUGACAGACUUAUAUGUGCAAAUCUACUUUCAGUUAUGUAAGAGAUUUUUGACAGUGAUGGUGUCAGAUAACUUUUGAAGAGUAAUUUGUUCUAAAGACUUUGCUAAUGUGGAAAAAUUUUAUUAAUACACCCUAUGGGAGUAGGUGACUAUUGCCUGGGCUGUGGGAAAGACUGAUUUUUUGGAUGAUGCUCUUCAGAACAACUGUACUGAAUGUUCUGGUGUCUCUAGCUAGUAUGCUCAUCCAGAAUAACAAUUCAAAGAUGUGUAAAAUCUCUCCUUUUUUUUUUUUUUUUUCUCUGCUCAUAAGCAAGCUGGUUUACCUCCCCCAGUUUUUCCACAGAUAGUUUUAGAAAGAAUAUCAAUGUUUUCCAAUAUUUUUUUUAGUAAAAAGAGAUGUUAAUGACUUCAGGACUAUGUAAGCAGAUUCAAAGCUCAGGGGAAAAGAAAAAAAAGACACAUAGGAUAGGAAAACCUGGGCAUAGUAUUUUGGUCAAAAAUUAAAACCCUCAUCAAAAUCAAACAUUCAACUCAGUAUUAUCAGCAGUGGCAAAUACCAUAAAUUCCCAAAUCGUUACUUAUGUUCAGCCAUAACCAAUCAAUUAAUAUUUCUUAGAACCAGAAGUAAGAUAGCCCAGUAGGUAAUUUUUUUCUUACUUUUAAUCACAACUGGAGAGGUGAAUUUAGAAAAAUUUAGAAUAAGGUGAAUUUAAAAAAAAAAAAAAGAAGAAAGAAAAAAAAUGUCUCCAUUGUAUAGUGUUUCAAUUAAGUAAUUAAGCAAUGAGGUGAUGAUUCAGUAACACUAGCAAGACUUCACACAUGAAGGUGUGAAGGAUAAAAAGAGGUUAUAAAUACAUUUAUUCCAUAGUUCCUUAGCUCUGGUUUAUUCUCAACUACCCAUUUCAACAACAGAGAUUCAUUAAAGCGCUUCAUCAAGCCAACUGCACAUUCUUGUUGUUGAGGAAAAUGCUCAUAGGUCUAGCAUUCAAACCA